GGAGAGGUGUCCGAGCUGGCCGAAGGAUCUCGCCUGCUAAGCGAGUAUACGGGCUUAAAUCUGUAUCGAGGGUUCGAAUCCCUCCCUCUCCGCCA
This 95-nucleotide transfer RNA is filed under the name Desulfovibrio sp. RNAcentral describes it as "tRNA-Ser". It matches the Rfam family "tRNA". Rfam says of the family: Transfer RNA (tRNA) molecules are approximately 80 nucleotides in length. Their secondary structure includes four short double-helical elements and three loops (D, anti-codon, and T loops). Lineage: Bacteria; Pseudomonadati; Thermodesulfobacteriota; Desulfovibrionia; Desulfovibrionales; Desulfovibrionaceae. The record is from RNAcentral.